RNAcentral lists this ribosomal RNA (460 nucleotides) under uncultured bacterium. RNAcentral describes it as "partial 16S ribosomal RNA". It matches the Rfam family "Bacterial small subunit ribosomal RNA", at positions 338 to 795 of the family's 1533-position model. The record is from RNAcentral.
CCUACGGGAUGCUGCAGUGAGGAAUAUUGGUCAAUGGACGAGAGUCUGAACCAGCCAAGUAGCGUGAAGGAUGACUGCCCUAUGGGUUGUAAACUUCUUUUAUAAAGGAAUAAAAUGUUCCACGUGUGGGAUUUUGUAUGUACCAUAUGAAUAAGGAUCGGCUAACUCCGUGCCAGCAGCCGCGGUAAUACGGAGGAUCCGAGCGUUAUCCGGAUUUAUUGGGUUUAAAGGGAGCGUAGGUGGAUUGUUAAGUCAGUUGUGAAAGUUUGCGGCUCAACCGUAAAAUUGCAGUUGAAACUGGCAGUCUUGAGUACAGUAGAGGUGGGCGGAAUUCGUGGUGUAGCGGUGAAAUGCUUAGAUAUCACGAAGAACUCCGAUUGCGAAGGCAGUUCACUGGACUGCAACUGACACUGAGGCUCGAAAGUGUGGGUAUCAAACAGGAUUAGAUACCCUUGUAGUC